GUCUCAUUGGGGUCUAAGCGUGAUGCAGGAUUGUCGAUAUUUUGUAAGCGUGACCCGUGAACGUCAAAUUAUUUUGCCGUGAAAACGGGAAAUGAAGCCUAACGGGACACAGGAAAUUACAUAAAGUGAUACUUGCUUACCUACAUAGUGUAAGAGGGAUGCUGGAAUCUGACAAAACAGUUAGCGGUAUCCGGGAUCAGAACAACCCCCUUUUACCCCCCAA
This 223-nucleotide long non-coding RNA is filed under the name Mytilus galloprovincialis (Mediterranean mussel). The record is from RNAcentral. Lineage: Eukaryota; Metazoa; Mollusca; Bivalvia; Mytilida; Mytilidae.